Molecule: unclassified non-coding RNA, 186 nt
Filed under: fungal sp.
Lineage: Eukaryota; Fungi
Description: partial internal transcribed spacer region
Rfam family: Eukaryotic small subunit ribosomal RNA (bases 1-46)
Source: RNAcentral
AAGUCGUAACAAGGUAUCCGUAGGUGAACCUGCGGAUGGAUCAUUAAUAUGUUUUAUUUGGAGUUUUGUGAACGUGGUUUUGAUGGGGGGUUGGUGACAAUGUUGCCGACCUCGUGCAUAGUUAAAGUGAAACGGAACUACUUGUAUGAAAAUACACAACUUUUAGCAACGGAUCUCUUGGCUCUC